CAGAAACAGAAAUAACCUCUUCUCCAUUUUCCUGUCUCUGAAAAUGAAGAAAAUGGAUGACAGCUAUGCCUGAUCUACCUCUGCUGCGGAAGUUGUACCCGUCAGCACCUGCUGAGGGCUUCGUUGAUCAAAAAAAUCAGGGGCACCCUUUCAGAUAGGAACAUGGACCUUAUUGGCAUCAUCUUGUAUCCAUGGAAACAUUUUAAGUACCUCUCUCUCAAUAUGUACUUCGCUUAUUCAGGGUUCAAGAGCUGAGUACCAAAUAAACACAGUAUUCACCAAAUGCAUCUGUGCCUAACUCACCUUCUUCACGAUGGUCCUAAGGAGUGAUGUGUUUUGGAAGAAUUCAGGUUGAGAUUACAAGAGGAAAUGAUAAACCUAUCCUCAUCUUGCACAUGUGUUCAUAGAAAUACAGCAUAGAUCACACAUGCAGAUGCUGAGGAGUUUGGAUUUUUUUUGUUUGAGGGAAGAGGGACACGUAAUUGGUGAGUCCUCAGUUUUUCCUAUUUUCAGGCAUGGCUACAACCCCCCAACAACAAACUGGGAGAAAAUACAAUGUGUCUUGAUGACACAGCUGCUGCAUAGUUCCAUUGAACUACAAAUAGUUUUUUUCAGCACAAUGAAGAUGUUAGCUUAAUGAAGAACUGGGACACACAAAGAUGACAGCCUGCAUCAGCCACUUCAGCAUCUCCCAAUACAUAAGUCUAAGCAAAAGUGUUGAUUCCAGGGGAAAUUUAUUUUGGUUGUAACUUAAAAGAAGCAACAGUUGAAUGACAAAAAGGAAGAAAAAAUUGGUUGAGUGUACUUUGGAUGUCAUCAAAAGUCUUUGCAAAGAGGGAGCCACAUCCCAGGAGACAGCACCAAAGAAGUGACUCUUUACAUGAGAAACUUCUAUACCUGCAGAUGAUCUUCACAUACAUGAUAUAAUUCCAUUGUCACAGAGAUUCAUGUUUUUCAUGACCUGGGUACAAUGCUGCUUGGCUGGCAUCCUUCUCACCAACAAAGGCAUGAGUAAACUGUAUCCUUUUUUCAAUUAACAUCUGGAAGAUUUCAUUUUCUACCAAGUCCUAUUUUAGUUUUAAAAAUGGUAAUGUUCAUCCUGCAGCCAUCUGCAGCAGUGGGUGGAU
Molecule: non-coding RNA, 1127 nt
Organism: Cyanistes caeruleus (blue tit)
Lineage: Eukaryota; Metazoa; Chordata; Aves; Passeriformes; Paridae
Source: RefSeq, a predicted model, not a curated record